This 425-nucleotide ribosomal RNA is filed under the name uncultured bacterium. RNAcentral describes it as "partial 16S ribosomal RNA". It matches the Rfam family "Bacterial small subunit ribosomal RNA", at positions 354 to 796 of the family's 1533-position model. The record is from RNAcentral.
GUGGGGAAUAUUGCACAAUGGGCGAAAGCCUGAUGCAGCGACGCCGCGUGAGCGAUGAAGUAUUUCGGUACGUAAAGCUCUAUCAGCAGGGAAGAUAAUGACGGUACCUGACUAAGAAGCACCGGCUAAAUACGUGCCAGCAGCCGCGGUAAUACGUAUGGUGCAAGCGUUAUCCGGAUUUACUGGGUGUAAAGGGAUCGUAGGUGGCGUGGUAAGUCAGAAGUGAAAGCCCGGGGCUCAACCCCGGGACUGCUUUUGAAACUAUCAUGCUAGAGUGUCGGAGAGGUGAGUGGAAUUCCUAGUGUAGCGGUGAAAUGCGUAGAUAUUAGGAGGAACACCAGUGGCGAAGGCGGCUUACUGGACGAUAACUGACGCUGAGGCUCGAAAGCGUGGGGAGCAAACAGGAUUAGAAACCCUUGUAGUCC